Long non-coding RNA from Cygnus olor (mute swan), 6773 nucleotides. RefSeq lists it as uncharacterized. The record is from RefSeq and is a predicted model, not a curated record. The transcript is spliced from 6 exons. Lineage: Eukaryota; Metazoa; Chordata; Aves; Anseriformes; Anatidae.
GGUGAUUCCCUGGGUAAGGAGUCUGUGCCGUGCCCUGAGCUGCCGUGGAGCAGGUGAAGGUCAGAGAAGGCAGCUGGGAGACGUGCUGCCUCUUUUGGCCCUCUCCUGCCGCUGUGCCAACCUCUGCCACGCUGGGAAGGCAAAAUCAGGAGGUGGUUGCAGGGAGCCCGCUAAGCCCAAAGAGCAGUGUCUGUUGACCUGCUGGAAACCAGUAAUUCUCAACUAGAAUAACACAAAGCCUAAGGUUUCAAGCGUGCUCUGUUUUUACAGCACGCUUUCCCUGUGAAAAACGACUGAAAUCAACCUGAGAUGCCUGUGUCUGUUGUGUCUCGGUGAUUCCCAACGCACAGGACAGUCCAGAUUUUUCUCUCCGGUGACUGUCCUCAAUUCUUCACCGACUCCAGCGGAGCUUCAGCAAACUGAAUUAGCUGGCUGGAAACAAUCUCUAUUGUCUGCGCCGCCCUCGCAGCUUGUUAUGGCAAUUACGGAAUACCCGUUCUUCCCUAGUUUUAAAAUGGCUGGAAGGUAAUCAUCUAUUCUGUAGGUUGUGCACAGCAAGGAACUGACCUGGAGAUACUCCUCUGUGCCUGAACUGCGUUGCCGGAAAAAAGAAUGGUGCAUAAAUGAGAAGUGAAACACGCAGGAAUAGACUUGUUAUGUAAAACAUAAACCACUCAAGAUGAUUUUUGCUGCAUAAGGACUUCAUCUGACAUGCCCGGUGAGUGGUGUGUGUCCUUCAUAGCAGCAGGUCUACCUGAGGGACAGGAGCCCUGCGUUAGCAGCCGCUCAAAAGGAGAUCGUCUCCGCAAACAUCAGGAAAAGCAAGUACAUUUUAUACACAGGGCUCUAAUGCUCCUCUUGGGCCAGAGGUAAGGGAGAACCCUCUUCACUGCUAUUAACAAUAAUUUACUUUGGAUGGAGCAACUACCGAGAUGGCUGCUGCGCAUUUAGUGGUGCUAAACCUCUCAGGCUAGCUACCCACAGAAGCUGAUGGGUUGCCUUAGUACCUAAACCAGUUUCUGUGGCGUAGUGCUCCACAUACUGCAGCCACCUUGCAGCUCUCCAGCUUUAUCCCCAUCCACUUUUUGCUCACGCCCUGUCUGCUGGAUGCCCUGCGGCCGCUGGGGCCAGCCCAGUGCGUGGCUCCAGGCACACAGGGAGCCCCUGCAAUGCCCUGGCCCCAGGGCAGCCCACGGUGUAGAAAAGCAGUUUUUUAAGGAGGAAAAACAUGCACGUUUUAAAUGCAGAGCCACGAUUUCGCUGGCAACCUGCAAGGCUGCAAAAGUGGCUUUGCAGCCUGAGAGCCUGCUUAGCAUUUAAACCGGUUUGUCUCUGGAGCUUAAUGAAUCUCUUCCCUUUUCACGCAUGUAACACUACACACCCUUUAAAAACAGAGAAAGAAAGCUCUGUGCCGAAAAUAUUUUAGGAGUCUCCCUUGCUAGGACAGGACUCCAAAUUCCCAGUAAGCGCUCUGAGUACCCGAGCCAGCAACCAGGCAGAAAGCAGGGAGGAGCAGGACCCUUCCCUGCUGGAGGGAAGGGAAGGCUUUGUGCUUUAUUUUUGAGUGCUGACCUAAAAAGCUGAUUUUCCAUCCGCCCCCCACCCUGGACCGUGCAAGGAGCCAGGUAGGAGCAGAGCAAGGGGAACAGCUGGCUGCUAGAGCUGUUCAGCCUCUAACAAGAGAAAGAUCCAAUGUGACUACCAGAGACGGCAGAAAGCCCAUCGGAGUGCUCGCAGGUGCAAGGAAGAAAUGUGCUUUUCCUGCUAUUAUUGUCAGGCUGGAGCACGGCUUAACCCCCUCUCUGCCUCCUGCUGCAGCCACGGCGCCAUCGGGGAGGCAAAGGCAGGGGACAAGGAACCCCCAGCCGUGGGGCUCGCUCUGAUCCCCUUUUUGGUGAGGAGCGACUGGGAAGAGCAAAGCCCGCAGGACAUCAACCAUGUCAGCACCCAACGCUGGUAGGGACACCAGCCAGCUUUCCAAAACCGGUCGCAGCGCUGGGACACUCUUCCCACCCUCCCUUAGAUAAAUAAAUCUAAAAAACUAAAAUCAAAGGGAUCGGACCGGCGGGAGUAGCAAAACCAUGGCUGCGGUGCCGUCCUGUAAAUAAUCUGUGAGACUGGGCCAAAGAGUAAAGGCUGUGCAGAGCUUCUAAUUUGAGGCAAGAUCAACAACGCUGCAAAACAGUUUGUUUUUCCAGCGCUCAUUUGUUUUGUUUGCCAAUGACAUCAGUGCUUUUCUGAUAGGGUUUGCUUCCUGAGGAUGCCUGCUAUCUUGCCAGGGUUUCCGACUUGUCCCCGUCAGCCGGUACAGCUCCGCAUUAAGCUGCAAACAGGGGCCAAGCUUUUCUCUGGAAACUUCUCCACGGCGCUGUCAGAUGGAGAGGAGCGAGCGCGGGCUGAGCUGCGGAAAUCUGCGUGGCCCCCGCGUGCACAAACACAAUGGGGCCAAUGGGGACCCGCAGCCCCGGGAGCUGGAUACAAUAGGAGAAAGGCCAUCGGAGCACCUCGUCGCAGGGACGGUCUGUCCGAGAGCACGGAUCCCAUUGCUGCUCUGCAGAAAAGCCCCAAAGUCUCCUGAAAGUCCCUGAAGAAAUCUGGUGCUCGGCUUUCCUCUGCGCUGCUCUCACAGCCCGUUCCUGGUAGGGGAAUCGCACUGAUUUCCGCUGGUGCUCUGCCUCUCUCUGCAGGUUUGCUGAGUGGCAGGGGUUCCCCAGCCUUAUUUUUGGGGGUGCCACCACCACCACUGCUGGCAGUGAUGGCCCAAUGUCAACACCUGCAGCAGUGGCAACUGCAGCUCUUACCCCUGGGCUCCAAAAGGGCUCGUGUGCCACUAGGUCCUCUGUACGGCAUUCAGGGCAGGCUCUCGGCGUGCUCCUUCGCUUGGUGCUGAUCCUGGGGGAGCACCCACGCAGCUCAGCGGGAUGCCAGAAGUGACAGGGAACUGGCACCGAGCUGGCUGCCCUCUGUUACACCUCUCCCUCCCUCUGUUACUUAAAGUGGAAGGUGGCAACCCUCAAACUGUUCAAACACGACCCCUGGAAGUCCUUCUUGCACACAACUCCCCCUGCCCACCUCUGCGUAACUAUUUAUAACAUUUUGCGAGCAGUUCUGUACAACUUGACAGAAAGGAAAACAACAAAGGAGCAUUAUUCACAUUGCAAAACGAAGCACGCAACCAUCACGUAUUGCCAAAAUCGAGGCACCCUGCACGGACAAACGACUUGCUGCAGUCUGUGAUUACGUGCCUUCAGGCUACUGAAGUCUGCAGGACUCCUGCCUCUUGUGAUGCAGGGGGCAGGUGAUGCUAGUCUUCACAGGCUUUAUCUACAGCAGCUAUCCAGACACUGCUCUGAAGACGGAGUUACUAACAGGCACCUGAAUUACAAAGUGUAUUAUCUAGACGGGUCGCACAUUAAGCUAGCUUAUCUUCACUCACUUCUGUGAGAGUGCGCAGUGACAUUAUUCUCAUUUUAUAUCAGACACGUGCCAGACAGAAGUAUUUAUGUAGACAGACUAAAGUGAAAACAGCCCUCUCUGUUCUAGGAGCCUAGUCUGAAGUGUCUGCAACCAGAUUUUUCUGAAGCACAGUGUUAAAACUGAACGAGGUAUGUUGAAAGCAACUGCUGCAAGAGCCCAGGGGUCUGCAAGUCGUGCCAUGUGUGGCAAGCCAAGUGCCCACACAAUGAAGACAUGGGGUGACCCAAGAAGUUAGUUGCAGUAAUUUGCCUAAUUCCAUCCCUCUGUCCACCUAAUCCAGUACCAACACUUUCGCACAGGCAGCCUGCAUCUCCCUCCCACCCCAUGAGUUUCUUACCUCUCUGCACACCGGUGCCUUCAUUCCCAGUUCCUUGGGAAACCGAGGAAAAGUUUCCCUGGGCAAGGCUUGGGCUAUGCAGGCACACUCUGCUCAUACAUCCAUAGGAGCAACGAGGGCACCAGCACUGUCCCUGCACCAAAAGCUGUGAGAUGCUGAUGGAUGUGAAGAAAAAACCUUGGGAAAACGGAGCGGCUGGAAUCAGAGACAGGUCUGCCGAGAACACACGCAGACGUCUCCGAGCCUCGUAACCAUAGAUCCCGUUCCUGAGAGUGAUGGCACCACAGCUCUCAACCAAGAGGCUGGAAGAGUCGGUAGCGUAGUGACUAGGGGGAAAAUACAGAAGUUGCGCAUUGGAAGGAGGAAAACUUUUGAUGGAUGCAUGUGACAGUUUUAUAUGCAAAACAGGCAGGUGCAAAGCACCACGCUGAAGAAGGAAGAUGUGUAACUGCAAAAUGGAGCGGUGCAGCAGAAGGGUCUCGGGGCCUAGAGCCACACAGAGAAAAGGCAUCAAGAAUAGUGCAGGCCUUGGCACCCAGAGGGGCCUACACUCACACGAACAACGCCGCUGCACCUCCACCAGGAGCCACACGCAGGUGAGGAGGACCAGCACGCAGCUCUUUGGGAGGUAAAGUCCCAAAACGAGCACAAGGCACAAGAAACACCACACGCUGAAGGAGCCUGCGCACAGAAGAGGCAGCAGAUGGCCCGAGCGGAGGCACAAGGACGGGUCCCAACCAGAGGACUGGGAUCAGAUCUGGACACACACCAGGCUGAGCUUCAAGGCAGUUCCCACUACAGCCAACACCACACCAAGGGUUUCAAAGCCACUCGUGCUAAAUGCAUAAUCAGCUCUGCUGACCACACGUGAAGACGUGCCAGAGUCAUUGCUGGAAGAUAAUUCAGUGUUAUGGCAGCUCCACAUGCCUUCCCAGCCUAACCCAGCGCUGACUGAGCAUUCAUUUGCUGAGGCUCCGAAGCAUCCGAAGAGAAAUAAAGGCAUAAACGGGGAGAGGAAACGUCCAGGCACGCACAGACACCACUGCUCGCGUUAGCUGGUUUUCAAAAUGUCAACGGCUCGCUCCCACCGACGACAGAGCAGCACAUUGCUGCACUGAAAUCCGUCCAGAUUUUCUUCAGAGAGGGAGCAAUUGUUAAGGAGCGCUCGCUGCUACUCUGCACAGCAGAUAUAACGAGUUCUUAGACCAAUUGGCAGCAUAUGGUAUAUUUCCCCAAAUGACAGCUUUUGUUUGUCGCAAGAAGAGAACAAAAUAGUACAUUUAUUAAACAAAGCGUAAUUAGCUAACUCUUUCCCUCCCCAAAAGGAGCUAUAGAGAAUAUUGUUUAGAACCCAGAUGAAUGUUUCCAUGCUGUUAUGACACUUCUGUACGGAGAGAUCCAUCGGGGUUGUGCUAGAACAAAGCAAAUGCAAUCACAUUUGUUGUUCACAUCUUAAAAUCAGGAUGCUAAGGGCUAAUCAUCUCACCUCAAAUACCUGUGGGCAAAGUGCUAAUAAGCAACACCCACACUAAGACUGCAUGAGUGAGCUUUUUUUGUUUUUUUUGUAAUUGUUUUUUUUAACAGAAACACUCUCAUUUGUACAAACAAAACAAAACAAAACAAAAGGAUGUCAAUAAUAACUAUUAAAUACUUAAAAGUACAAAUUUCUAAUAAGGGAUCCAUCACGAGGCUGAAUUUCUUUGAGGUGACGGUGACAUGACUUAUAGAGCCUGGGCUUCGUGAUCAAAAGGAUUACGCACAUUAGCAUCCUACUAAUCACAGCAGGACGGGCCGGCCCAUCAGGCCAGGGCUCACGGAGGAGCGAUCCGUAAACAAACACUUUCUCCCGCUCACAAAUGCGGCUGGGAGCGGAGGCGCUCCGAGCUUGGCAUGGUCUUCUCCUCUUUCAAAGAGAUAAGGAUUGUGUCUGCUGGGGUAAAUAAAUUCUCAGCGUAGCCUUACACGUCUGUUUGUUUACUCAUUUUCAGACAUUACCAUCCUCUCCUGUGCUGUUAUCCCUUUUAUAUUACCCUUGUAUGUAUAAUUGAGUGCCCUCUCUUCUGGAUUGACCCUCUGCUUCUUCCUGUAUUAUAGACGUCUUUGAUCUUCCUUUCUUGCGUCUGUGUGUCCUGCCUUGUAGUCUCAGCAGGAUUUCCCCCCGACCCCUUGCACUACCAGAAAAUAAAAGCCAAAGUAGCACUUGAGAGCAUUAGUGUAGAAAAAAGUAAGACAGGCACCUCUCCUGCGCACCGGUAGGGUACGUACAUAGGGGUGAAAGGCAGCACAGCUCCUGAGCACAGAGGAGCCCCAAGGACCAAGAAGGCCAGCAGCAAGCAGCGUGAUGAGGGAAGAGGAACUAUCCUAAAGUUUCAGAAAUGGCUGGUAAAUUUUCCCUUCCGUUGCCCUACCAUUUGAGAUGGUCCAAGUUAUGGCUGACGACUUCUAUUAAUAUCCCAGCUGCAAUACACUUGGGCGACAAAGAGUCUGCUGCCCGUUUCUGUUCUCUGCAGGCACUGCCAAUACCAAAAGAACUGCGGGUUAUCUCUGCGUAGAUGUGAAAAGAUGCCAUCAGUUCACAGAGAGACCUUAACGACCACAUCAAGACCACUGGAAGGCUGACCAGCCCCUUCCUUUGUCGCUGGAACCGGUGAGUAAGCUUCCCCAGCAAGCCCCAGUCCACUGGCUCUUAAAACAAAGCACAAUAACAAGGUUGCAGAAAGUGAGAUAACCCUUUCCACUCAAGCAGUGAAAAACAACAUCUGUUAAAAAACAAAUAAACUGGUGUAAUGGCUUCAGCGAGAGACCCAGAGGAUUUUAGAGAUGCAGCUCUUGUUUGGGUCGACACAUUGUGAAAAGCAAAUUACAAGAGAACAAUUGUUCCAUACCAAGCUCUCCCACCCCUGAACUCCCUCAAGGUUAAUUAGGAUGGCCUUUGGCCAAAUUAAUUAGAAGAUCUGGA